This 88-nucleotide microRNA precursor is filed under the name Podarcis lilfordi (Lilford's wall lizard). Lineage: Eukaryota; Metazoa; Chordata; Lepidosauria; Squamata; Lacertidae. The record is from RNAcentral.
AAGUUUGUUAUUGGUAUGAGCUUUCGCGUGCAUGCACACUUCUUCAGAUGUGUGCAUGCACACGAAAGCUCAUACCAAUAACAAACUU